Molecule: long non-coding RNA, 108 nt
Organism: Pygocentrus nattereri (red-bellied piranha)
Lineage: Eukaryota; Metazoa; Chordata; Actinopteri; Characiformes; Serrasalmidae
Exons: 3
Source: RefSeq, a predicted model, not a curated record
CUCAAACGGUUACUUUUAGCCUUCGAAAAUUGAGUUUGGCAAUGAUUCAAUUGUAUGCACUUGUUUUUGUCUCAACAGCAUUAGGUGGCACCUCAAAUGAUGCCCCAU